CUGUCCUGUUAUAUAUUAUACAGGGUCUGGUUGAUCUGUCCUGUUAUAUAUUAUACAGGGUCUGGUUGAUCUGUCCUGUUAUAUAUUAUACAGGGUCUGUAUCUGAUCUGUCCUGUUAUAUAUUAUACAGGGUCUGGUUGAUCUGUCCUGUUAUAUAUUAUACAGGGUCUGUAUCUGAUCUGUCAUGUUAUAUAUUAUACAGGGUCUGUAUCUGAUCUGUCAUGUUAUAUAUUAUACAGGGUCUGUAUCUGAUCUGUCCUGUUAUAUAUUAUACAGGGUCUGGUUGAUCUGUCCUGUUAUAUAUUAUACAGGGUCUGGUUGAUCUGUCCUGUUAUAUAUUAUACAGGGUAUGUAUCUGAUCUGUCCUGUUAUAUAUUAUACAGGGUCUGGUUGAUCUGUCCUGUUAUAUAUUAUACAGGGUCUGUAUCUGAUCUGUCCUGUUAAAUAUUACACAGGGCCUGUAUCUGAUCAUGAUCCUCCCUGUUUAUCACCAGUGAAGUUCUGAACAGCUGAAUGUAUGUAUCUUAGAAAUAGUUUUCACACCCAAACUUCAUACGUCCAAACUCAAAUGUGCUGAUCAAAAAUAACAUGUUCGCUGUAGUAGAACGUUUAUUUUGAUUGCCAAUGUUCUGCAUUUAACCGAGUGCAAUCAGGUAGCCUGCUUUCAGAUGUGUCCAUGUAAAUAUGAUCAUUAGGGAAAAUUGUUAUUUUUGCAAAGGAUGUAAAGUUUUUAAACAAACUAUUAUGUUAAUCGCCUUAUUGUGUGCAUAUAACCGCACUCAAUGAGAAAAAAAGUAGUUGGCUUGAGCAUAAAUUCAGCCGCUACUCAGCAGGUCUGGUCUGGCUAAUAGCCUACACAAAUGAGCUGCAAUAUUCGAGGUAGAUUUAAUUAAAUACAAUUAAAUCCAACUUGAGACUCCCCUUGUCUCCUGAAGUCCUCCUGAAGAGGAUUGUCAGUGUCCUUGUUCUGAUCUGAACUGUGCAUUGUGCUCUCUAGCUUUGCUACAUCUCACUAUCCCUGUCUCUUUCUCUCUUCAUCUCUCUCUCCAUCUCUCUCUCUCUCUAGGUAUCCC
RNAcentral lists this long non-coding RNA (1073 nucleotides) under Salmo salar (Atlantic salmon). RNAcentral's name for it is "lncRNA (ENSSSAG00000090517.1)". Lineage: Eukaryota; Metazoa; Chordata; Actinopteri; Salmoniformes; Salmonidae. The record is from RNAcentral.